AGGGCACCACAAGGAGUGGAGAAUGCGGCUUAAUUUGACUCAACACGGGAAAACUCACCAGGUCCGAACACAGUAAGGAGUGACGGAUUGAUAGCUCUUUCAUGAUUCUGUGGGUGGUGGUGCAUGGCCGUUCUUAGUUCGUGGAGUGAUUUGUCUGCUCGACUGCGAUAACGAACGAGACAUUCGUGGGAUGUUAUGACUACCGAGGACUCUCGACGAAAGGGGACUUGUCUCCGAGUAAGAGAGAGUACGCUCGGUCUUAGUCAGAAUUCCCUCACAAACAACAUAAAAGUUGUACGAAAGAAUGCAAUAACAGGUCUGUGAUGCCCUUAGAUGUUCUGGGCUGCACGCGCUCUACAAUGAGUGUGAUAACGAGUUGUUCAGUUGUUUACGAGCGAGAAAUCGUCUUCGUCAAACAAAUUCCCGCCUAGAAAAGGGUAGGAAAUCUCUGAAACAUACUCGUGACAGGGAUAGUGCCUUGUAAUUGUGGUGCUUGAACGAGGAAUCCCUUGUAGUCGA
This 519-nucleotide ribosomal RNA is filed under the name uncultured eukaryote. RNAcentral's name for it is "partial 18S ribosomal RNA". It matches the Rfam family "Eukaryotic small subunit ribosomal RNA", at positions 1161 to 1624 of the family's 1831-position model. The record is from RNAcentral.